Molecule: non-coding RNA, 110 nt
Organism: Xyrichtys novacula (pearly razorfish)
Lineage: Eukaryota; Metazoa; Chordata; Actinopteri; Labriformes; Labridae
Source: the annotation of a GenBank genome assembly
CGUUACAGAGGAGAGGGGGAGAGGGGAGAGAGAGAGAGAAGGAGAAACAAACAGGUGUGUUGUACUGCCCCCUCGCUCCCUCCCCCCUGCCCCUCCUCCUCCACCUCUCA